RNAcentral lists this ribosomal RNA (497 nucleotides) under uncultured bacterium. RNAcentral describes it as "partial 16S ribosomal RNA". It matches the Rfam family "Bacterial small subunit ribosomal RNA", at positions 28 to 507 of the family's 1533-position model. The record is from RNAcentral.
GAUGAACGCUGGCGGCGUGCCUAAUACAUGCAAGUCGAGCGAACGGACGAGAAGCCUGCUUCUCUGAUGUUAGCGGCGGACGGGUGAGUAACACGUGGAUAACCUACCUAUAAGACUGGGAUAACUUCGGGAAACCGGAGCUAAUACCGGAUGAUAUUUUGAACCGCAUGGUUCAAAAGUGAAAGACGGUCUUGCUGUCACUUAUAGAUGGAUCCGCGCUGCAUUAGCUAGUUGGUAAGGUAACGGCUUACCAAGGCAACGAUGCAUAGCCGACCUGAGAGGGUGAUCGGCCACACUGGAACUGAGACACGGUCCAGACUCCUACGGGAGGCAGCAGUAGGGAAUCUUCCGCAAUGGGCGAAAGCCUGACGGAGCAACGCCGCGUGAGUGAUGAAGGUCUUCGGAUCGUAAAACUCUGUUAUUAGGGAAGAACACAUGUGUAAGUAACUGUGCACAUCUUGACGGUACCUAAUCAGAAAGCCACGGCUAACUACGUG